GACGGGUGAGGAUCCCGUCCGCUGGAUGACCAAGGGUUCCGGGGCCACGUUCGUCGUCCCCGGGUGAGUCGGGUCCUAAGGCGAGGCCGACAGGCGUAGUCGAAUGGAUGAACGAGUGGAUAUUCCCGUACCGACCAUGGACCGGCAAAACCGAGACGGUGAGUACUAACCUCCGCCUCGUGGUGGUUCCUUCCUUCGGGUUGGUAUCGCCGCGUGGCGUUGGGACUGUAGCCGCAGUAGGUCAGCGCAGGGGUGACACGGAAUGGGAGCCGGCCGCGGAGGUGGUUUUCCGUGGUCAAGCACGCAGCCAGUCAUGUAGGCAAAUCCGCAUGGCGCGCAUGGCGAGGUGUGAUGAUGGGAGCCGUUAUGGCUCGAUAUCCGGUUGUCCAGGCCGUCGAGAAAAGCCUCGGCGUGAGGGCCAUGGCCGCCCGUACCCCAAACCGACACUGGUGGUCAGGUAGAGAAUACCAAGGCGAUCGAGCGAAUCCUGGUCAAGGAACUCGGCAAAUCACUCCCGUGCCUUCGGUAUAAGGGAGACCCGCUGGGGUGAAGGACCUUGCGUCCGGAGCUUUGGUGGGUGGCACAGACCAGGGGGUAGCGACUGUUUACCAAAAACACAGGUGCAUGCGAAGGCGAAAGCCGCUGUAUAUGCACUGACGCCUGCCCGGUGCCGGAAGGUUAAGAGGAUCCGUCAAUCCCUUCGGGGACGAAGCGGUGAAUUCAAGCCCCGGUAAACGGCGGUGGUAACUAUAACCAUCCUAAGGUAGCGAAAUUCCUUGUCGGGUAAGUUCCGACCUGCACGAAUGGCGUAACGACUUCCCCACUGUCUCGACCAGGAGCUCGGCGAAAUUGCAGUACGAGUAAAGAUGCUCGUUAAGCGCAGAAGGACGAAAAGACCCCGGGACCUUUACUAUACCUUGGUAUUGGCGUUAGGCGCGGAUUGUGUAGCAUAGGCGGGAGGCUUCGAAGCGGGUGCGCCAGCAUUCGUGGAGCCGCAAGGUGAAAUACCGCUCUGUUCUCGUUUGACGUCUAACCUCGACAAGUCAUCCUUGUCAGGGACAGUGCCUGGCGGGUAGUUCAACUGGGGCGGUUGCCUCCCAAAGAGUAACGGAGGCGCUCAAAGGUCCGCUCAGCCCGGUUGGCAAUCGGGUGUCGAGUGUAAUCGCACAAGCGGGCUUGACUGCGAGGACGACGGUCCGAGCAGGGACGAAAGUCGGAGAUAGUGAUCCGGUGCCGGCGCACGGGCGCGGCAUCGCUCAACGGAUAAAAGGUACCCCGGGGAUAACAGGCUGAUCAUUCCCAAGAGUCCAUAUCGACGGGAUGGUUUGGCACCUCGAUGUCGGCUCGUCGCAUCCUGGGGCUGGAGCAGGUCCCAAGGGUUCGGCUGUUCGCCGAUUAAAGCGGCACGCGAGCUGGGUUCAGAACGUCGUGAGACAGUUUGGUCUCUAUCCUCUGCGCUCGUUGGAAUCCUGAGGAGGCCUGCCCAUAGUACGAGAGGACCUGGGUGGACGAACCUCUGGUAUGCCGGUUGUCGCGCCAGCGGCACGGCCGGUUGGCUACGUUCGGGAGGGAUAACCGCUGAAAGCAUCUAAGCGGGAAGCCUGCUCCAAGAUUAGGAUUCCGUACGGUCUUGAACCGUUGUAGCCCGCAUGUUGAACACGUGUUUGAUAGGCCGGAGGUGGAAGCCCCGUGAGGGGUGGAGCCGACCGGUACUAACGGGCGACGGCGACAC
RNAcentral lists this ribosomal RNA (1732 nucleotides) under metagenome. Its description in RNAcentral is "bacterial LSU rRNA". It matches the Rfam family "Bacterial large subunit ribosomal RNA", at positions 1316 to 2925 of the family's 2925-position model. The record is from RNAcentral.